AUUCAGCUGGUGGACGAGUCCCGAAUAGGACGGAAUGCGCAUCCUGGAU
Molecule: non-coding RNA, 49 nt
Filed under: Trichobilharzia regenti
Lineage: Eukaryota; Metazoa; Platyhelminthes; Trematoda; Strigeidida; Schistosomatidae
Source: RNAcentral